Molecule: long non-coding RNA, 4921 nt
Organism: Homo sapiens (human)
Lineage: Eukaryota; Metazoa; Chordata; Mammalia; Primates; Hominidae
Exons: 10
Source: RefSeq, a predicted model, not a curated record
GAACAUCCUUGUCCAUGAGAUUUGUGGGCUUUCAGGAAGACUACUGUGGACGUGGAGCACAUUACAUCUCAAGGAAUCGAGGAAUCCAUCAAAAGGCACUCAUUGCUUGCUGCAAUGAUUGUCCUUCUCUGUCCUCCAGGCUCCCAGCACCCACUGUGUGGAAUACAACUACACCAUGGCCAGAUAUCCCAUCUUUCAUAAGAUAACUUUAGAUUUAGAGUUACCAAACACUUGAGGGCACAUACUGGACAAUCCAUAGAGAGUUCUCAGCUGGGGUCCUUCUUGUCAUCAAUAGUGCAUGACAGCUUUUAGCUAAACUUGGAGAAAGUGACAAUGCUGUUUCAUGCCCCACAAAGAAAAAAAACCUUGAUCUCUGGCAUGAAGAGUCCAUUGAAACAAGGUAUUGAGACAUCAGAUAUUUAGGAUGAAGGUUUCGUGAGGAACCAGGUACUUGAGGACAAUGAUAGCUGCCUAAAUCUACCACACCACAAUGCAGAAGACUGCACAAGGGAAGAACCUUGAGAACCACAUAAAACUCAGGCUCUGCUGCAAGCCUUUCUUGCAGGCAAAGGCAGUCUAAUAAACAUUUUUUAAAAAUCUUGCAUAGAAGAGAGAAGAAGGGAGUGAGCAGCAGAUCUAAAAUCUUUCUGAAACCACCACUAGGAUGAUAAAGUUAUCCUAACUGUGAAAAUACGGAAAAAAAGUGCAUUACUGCAUCACAGUGCUGAUUACAGGGAAGAGACUUAUAAUACAUGUGCUUUGAAGUGGCAGUCUUCAAAAGGUACAGCUUCUGAGAGAAAAAGAUGAAAAACUAAGAGGGAGGCACUGCAGUGACUGGGUGGUAAAAAAUAAAAGAAGUGGAAGGAAAAGUUACAGUCUUACAAGGCAAAGGGUAACAUGAAAGUCAGAGGGUACAUAACCACUUCCUGCAUCAACAGAAAUCUCAUCCCUGAAAAAAUGUAGACUGUUGCUAUACAGACAGAGGAGGAUGACAAGCCAUUAAACUAGAAAUCUUGUAAACCACCACUCAUAUGCAAAACGAAUAGUAUUGAGAGGUGAAGCUAGCAGGGCUUCUUGGUCGAGUGUGGACUUGGAGAACUUUUCUGUCUAGCUAGAGGAUUGUAAACGCACCAAUCAGCACUCUGCAUCUAACUAAAGGAUUGUAAAUGCACCAAUCAGCACUCUGUAAAAUGGACCAAUCAGCACUCUGUAAAGUGGAAGAAUCAGUGCUCUGUAAAAUGCACCAAUCAGCAGGAUGUGGGUGGGGCCAAAUAAGGUUAUAAAAGCUGGCCACCGGAGCCUGCAGGAACAACCCAAUUGGGUCCUUUUCCAUCCUGUGGAAGCUUUCUUCUUUCACUCUUCACAAUAAAUCUUGCUGAUGCUCACUCUUUAUGAGCUGUAACACUCACCAGAGGGUCUGUGGCUUCAUUCCUGAAGUCAGUGAGACCACGAACCCACCAACCCACGGGGAGGAACAAACAACUCCAGAUGCACUGCCUUUAAGGGCUGUAACACUCACUGCAAAGGUCUGCGGCUUCACUCCUGAAGUAAAUGAAACCACGAACCCACUGGAAGGAAGAAACUCGGGACACAUCUGAACGUCUGAAGGAACAAACUCCGGGCACACCAUCUUUAAGAACUGUAACAGCUCACCACGAGGGUCCACGGCUUCGUUCUUGAAGUCAGCGAGACCAAGAACCCACCAGAAGGAACCAAUUCUGGACACAGGGUGAAAUGGAAUAAGUCUAUGCAAAGUUACCACAAAGACACAAAAAGUGAGAAUUAACACAUUUCAGCUGGAUGAAACUUCUCACCAGAAACAACCAUGAAGAAAAAUAAACAUGUAAGAAAUGAUUCAAAAUGAGUUAAAUAUACUAAAAUCUCAAAUCUGAAGAGCCACUUUGAAUUAGAAAUCUGAAAACUGAAAGCAAAAAUAGAAAAAGCAGAAAAAAAUGAACAGAGUUGAUUGAACUUAGCAAAGAAAUGAUAAAAAGAAGACAAAAUCAUCUCAGAGUGAAGAAGACCGAAAUGGAAGAUAAUAAAGUGAAUUGACGGAACGCAAGAAAAUAAUCUGCAAAUGAAUAUAAGUUAACAAACAUCACAAAGCACCAGCUCCUUUAAUUGAGAAAAGAAGAAAGCACGAUGUACAAAAUAAUGACAAGGGGGACUAACCACUGAAACGGUAUGCAUCUGAGGAGAUGGCGAAGACAUUUUUAACAUCUUUAUCAGUUUCAUGCUGUACCUGUUAAGAGGUCCUGGCUUCCAGAAGGAAAUUACUUCCACCAGUGGACAUGGUGGAGGAGAGUGGAGGGGAGUAAGAUUAGAAGCAAGGAUACCAGUAGGAUGCAGUUACAGCAAUCCAGGUGGCUGUGCUACAAUUGUAAUAACAUCAGAUCUGUGCUGGUCUAGGCUGACCAUGGUCUGAGCCACCAGCCAAAAGCCACCAGGAUUGUAUCUGAAUUGAAUGAGUUGGAAUUGACCUUUUGUUAAAUGAGCUGAAUCUCCCGAAAAGAAGAAGCCCAUGAUGGAGAACUGUGGAGUACCAGCAUCUCUGUUGGAGAGUGUUAGAAAGGACUUACUACAGGAGCCUGGGCCUCGUGUGAGGAGCAGUGGACAUCUCCGGAGGGAGCCACCUGAACAGAUGCUGGCUGUCUCGUGCCGAGGCCCCGCGCCAGAUCACAGAACUGUGAAGUGAUCCUGGGCAGAGGUGAACAAGAAUGGCUGACGUUGACUUGUGUUUCAUACCAUUUCAGAAAGAUGGGAGCUCAUCAUUGAAAUUAAGUUAAAUUGUAGAAAAUAAGGAAUUUUGGAACUUCUUAGACAAGAUGCAAUAAUUAUACUGUUUCCUGGUGGAGGUCUUGCCCUUCUCCUCCCUUCCUUUAUUUUUAUUGCUGUAGCGUGGAUUUGGACCUAUUUUUCUUUUAGUCUGUGGUCACAGAGGGUUCAGAAGUGUAGCUGUGCUUGUGAAGACACAUGCAUUCCAGACUUCCUAAUUAGAUGCUUUCUUGUCACACUUUAAAACCCCUGCACUAUUGGGAAGUGCCUGCCGAAAGGUCAGCCCAUCACUCCUUGGUUACCUUCCGCAGUGACAUGAUAUUUCUUUCACUGGCAACGAAUGAGAAAGGGGUGGUGCAGUCAGAUAUUAAGGGAACCAGAGCUAUCUUCAAGGAGCAGGAAAAGUCAGCCAUUGGCUGCCGUUAUAGCUUGGGAAAUGACUGGACGAGGAAAGUCUAUUUCAAACAGAUGAUUACAAAACCUCACUAAAGCCAGUGCACGCUGGUGUGCGUCACAAAUUGGCCUAGGAACAGCACUGGGGCAUAUACAUUGUGGAAGUCAAGAAGUGAAGAUUACACGUGAUCUGAUUUCCCAUAAAAAGACUCUCUUAGUUCUACACAUUUAGAACCAAGAUCUGUUUUCCUCACCUGCUCUUUUGCCAGAUGCAAAGACCCCUCGGCCACUCCCCAGCCUCUGUGUGUGUGUGUUUAGCAUUUGUGAACCUCUCUGACCUCUUAUCUUUUCAGGCUAAUGAAUUGAAUACCUCUUUGAGGGCAGGAUAGAGAAGAAGGCUGAAUUGGGGAGCCUUGUAAACUGAAGGGAGACAGCUUGGUCUGGAAGGAAAACGGGUAUUAAAAUGUCAACCAGUAUCCAGUGUCCAAUGGGCAGGGGCUGGGCCUUGCCUGCUUUUGUGUCAUGCAUGGGUAAAGUCGUAUCUAAAUAUUUAAUCUCUUUUGGCUUUUACUCCUUCCCCCUCCAAUCCCACUUCCUUUAAUUUAAUUUUUAUUUAUUUAGUUUUUAGCUUUUAGGAUCCCAGGGUAAAUAAGUUCCAUACCUUGGGAAAUUGCAUAACAGAAAGAACACACUUAGCGUGAUCACUGUUUCAUUGUGUUCAGUUGUAUUUAGGACCAAGACAUCUGACAGCAUCACUGGGCCUUCUUUCAGAGAACAAUUGGCACACUUGAAUGCAACGGAGUGGAUAGGUGACAGCUCCUUCCCACGGCAGCUGUGGCAGCUCCAGCUUUCUGUCUAAUCAAAUUAGUUCCUCUCUGCACUCAAACAAGUCAGAAGCAAUCAUCUCCGAAUCCACGCGCAGUGAGCAAAUGCAAACACUGUCAUGGUGUGACGCUAGUAGGACAAGAGGUGAAGGCUGCUAAUAAAUACAGACAUACCAUGUGGCUAUAAUAAGCCACUUAGAAAAAUAGUGGAUAUAGAUUUUCUGUCUUUUACUUAAUCUAUUUUCUUUCCCACAAGGGAGAGACCAGGCAGCUAUCGAGGGAGGAUAAAUGCACUUGCGUUGUGGACGCUCUGCUUCUCUGCUAUUCCCAUUGUUUUCCCGGUGGAGAUGGCACCAGUCUCUAGCCAUUACUGGGCCUAUUGUCUCCCCAUAGGUUUCCUAGAGUCACUAGCUCUGGAUAGCCCAUUUAGCAGUAUCACCAAUGCCACUUGGCUUCUGUAUGAUGAGAGCAGGGAGUCAGCUACGAUAAAGGAAGCCUGUUUUGAGAGACUUCUCCUAAUAUUAACAAGUACAAAGGAAUAAUGGAUUUGAGAAGCAGAAACAUGACCCAUUGGAAUUUGACCUUGAAUGCAAUUUAGGGUUAGUUGGAACUAGUGUUAUUUAAAAAUAAACUAUUCUUUCUCCAAGGUAGUAUGAGAAAAGUUAGGUUGGAGUUUGGAAAUAAAGCAAGGCAUUUUUUUAAUUAAAAAAAGCUUUAUUGAGAUAUAAGUCAUAUAUCAUACAAUUUGCCCUUUUAAAUCAACAUUCAAUGGUUUUUAGUGUGUUCAGAGUUGUACAAUCAUUACCAUAAGCAAUUUUAGACCAUUUUCAUCACCCAAAACAGUAAUUCCAUAACCAUUAGUAUUAUUCCCCAUUUCUCUUCUCCUACCCUACCUAUCCCACUACUGGGUAUAUAUCCAAAGAAAAGGA